This 1943-nucleotide ribosomal RNA is filed under the name human gut metagenome. RNAcentral describes it as "bacterial LSU rRNA". It matches the Rfam family "Bacterial large subunit ribosomal RNA", at positions 844 to 2802 of the family's 2925-position model. The record is from RNAcentral.
GAUAGCUGGUUCUCCCCGAAAUAGCUUUAGGGCUAGCGUCGGAAAGAACCUUAGUGAAGGUAGAGCACUGAAUGUGUGAUGGCCCCAUCCCGGGGUACUGAAUACAAUCAAACUGCGAAUGUCAUUAAGGAUGUCCGGCAGUCAGACUGUGAGUGAUAAGGUCCAUGGUCAAGAGGGAAACAGCCCAGACCGCCAGUUAAGGUCCCAAAAUACAGGCUAAGUGGAAAAGGAUGUGGGGAUGCCCAGACAACUAGGAGGUUGGCUCAGAAGCAGCCAUCCUUUAAAGAGUGCGUAACAGCUCACUAGUCGAGUGACCCUGCGCCGAAAAUGUACCGGGGCUAAGCCUGAUACCGAAACUGCGGAUUGUAGGAAACUAUAGUGGUAGGGGAGCGUUGUAUACGAGCAGAAGCCGUACCGUGAGGAGCGGUGGAUUGUAUAGAAGUGAGAAUGCCGGUGUGAGUAGCGAGAUGUAGGUGAGAAUCCUACACACCGAAAGCCCAAGGAUUCCAGGGGAAGGUUCGUCCGCCCUGGGUAAGUCGGGACCUAACGCGAGGCCGAAAGGCGUAGUGGAUGGAAAGCAGGCGAAAGAUUCCUGCACCCGUAUAUGGAGCGAAGGAGUGACGGAGACGGAUAGUGUGACCCUCUUAAUGGAUUGAGGGCGAAGCGAAGCGGCUGGUUACCAGGCAAAUCCGGUAACCAUAAGGCUAGAGCGUGACAGGUAAGCGAAAUCUUAGGAAAGUAGCGAAGCACAUGAUGACGGCUUCCAGGAAAAGCUUCUGGCAAUGCAUAUGCGGCCCGUACCAAAACCGACACAGGUGGGCAGGGAGAGAAUCCCGAGGUGAGCGAGAGAACUGUUGCCAAGGAACUCGGCAAAAUGACUCCGUAAGUUAGCGAGAAGGAGUGCUUAAAAGAGAGCCGCAGUGAAGAGGCCCAAGCGACUGUUUAACUAAAACACAGCUCUCUGCGAAGUCGCAAGACGAAGUAUAGGGGGUGACACCUGCCCGGUGCUGGAAGGUUAAGAGGAUCUGUUAAGAGCGAUCUGAAGCAGUGAUCCGAAGCCCCAGUGAACGGCGGCCGUAACUAUAACGGGCCUAAGGUAGCGAAAUUCCUUGUCAGGUAAGUUCUGACCCGCACGAAAGGUGUAACGAUUUGGGCGCUGUCUCGGCAGCAGACUCGGUGAAAUCUUAGUACCUGUGAAAAUGCAGGUUACCCGCAACUAGACGGAAAGACCCCAUGGAGCUUUACUGCAGCCUGAUAUUGAAUUCUGGUCAUACAUGUACAGGAUAGGUGGGAGACAAAGAGACGUGCACGCCAGUGUACGAGGAGUCGACGUUGGGAUACCACUCUUGUGUGACCGGGGUUCUAACCUGGUAUCGAGAACAGGUACGGGGAGAGUGUCAGGUGGGCAGUUUGACUGGGGCGGUCGCCUCCCAAAGAGUAACGGAGGCGCCCAAAGGUACGCUCAGAUUGGAUGGAAACCAAUCGUCGAGUGCAAUUGCAGAAGCGUGCUUGACUGUGAGACAGACAAGUCGAACAGGGACGAAAGUCGGGAAUAGUGAUCCGGCGGUGCCGAAUGGAAGGGCCGUCGCUCAACGGAUAAAAGCUACCCUGGGGAUAACAGGCUGAUCUCGCCCAAGAGUUCACAUCGACGGCGAGGUUUGGCACCUCGAUGUCGGCUCAUCGCAUCCUGGAGCUGGAUUCGGUUCCAAGGGUUGGGCUGUCCGCCCAUUAAAGCGGUACGCGAGCUGGGUUCAGAACGUCGUGAGACAGUUCGGUCCCUAUCUGUUGUGGGCGAAGGAGAUCUGCGGAGAGCUGUCCUCAGUACGAGAGGACCGGGAUGGACCUACCGCUGGUGCACCGGUUGUUCCGCCAGGGGCAUAGCCGGGUAGCUAAGUAGGGAAAGGAUAAGCGCUGAAAGCAUCUAAGCACGAAGCCUACUCCAA